Molecule: long non-coding RNA, 1146 nt
Organism: Oxyura jamaicensis (ruddy duck)
Lineage: Eukaryota; Metazoa; Chordata; Aves; Anseriformes; Anatidae
Exons: 2
Source: RefSeq, a predicted model, not a curated record
GUUUUCCUCCUGUUAACAGCAUCCCCCGACAUGUAAAAGCUGGUAAGGGACAAGGGGGCAUCCCCUGGAGCUGAUGUCUGGCCGAGCAGAGCAAGAGGUGUCUGAGCCUGUUACUGAAGGUGCUGAGCAAGCUGCGUCUGGCUCUUGAGAAGCAGCGAGGGCUUUGGACUGCCUUCCCCACCUUGUUUCUGGCCGUUGCGGUGCAUCCCUCUCGCUCUGGUCCCCUGGCCACAUCACCUGCAGCAGUGACAGGCAGCACCAGCCUCGUGCCACGCUGUCCUUCACCUCCACACCACGCUGCGAGCAGUCCCACGAGGCUGCCUCGGGGCCGGGGCAGAGCAGGGAGCUUCAGGGCACGAGCCAAGGUGCAGCAUAUGGCCGAGCGACCUGCCAAGCGCCCGGGAGCAGGAUGCGUCCCAGAUAAGGGUCCCCUGCCGUGCUGUCGGUGGCUCGCUCCAAGCACUGUCCCCUUGCUGGUGUCCCUCCCUUACAGGCUGCUUGUCUGAACACGCGAUUUUCCUCUAGCAUUAGAGGAGCACCAGAGACGUGGAAGGGAUGGGCAUCGCGUAGUGCUCAUGAUGAGGCAGGAGCAUCGUUGUACAGGGUUUUUUUUUCUUCUGUGCUGUGAUGGAGACUGGGAUGUGCGGUCACCUUCCUCCUUCCUUUUCUAAAGCAGACCGUGAUUUAAGGCACUGCAAGGCUUGGGAGAGGGGCUGCAUCGAAAACCACUCAGAAGUGUUUUUUGGGGGGCUAAUAAACUCAAUGACACCCCGUACCUGAGCUUUAACAUUUUCAUGUCCUGCCCCAAAUCAGCAGAAGGGCAAAUUUUGGUAUUCAAUCUGAAUGUGAUGCCGCUAGCGAGAGCGACUCAAUUCUCCAGGCAAAUCCCUUCCGAAAGCUUAAAGCAACGAGAAAAGACCCAACAGAGGCAAACUUUGAUGUGCAACUCCCACCGCUUCCCCUUUGUCCUGUUCUGGGUGUCGCUGGGCUCACCGCAGCCUCCCACAUUCACUGCUACGUGUCCAGGCUGCCGAGGCUGCUCGUGCCUGAGCUGUGCAGGAGGGCUGGAUGGCAGGCGGGGGGAGCCUGGGGGGAAAAUGCCUCUCACUGAAGAUGAGGGGCAAAUGUCACGUUUUUUUUCUGAAA